RNAcentral lists this microRNA precursor (79 nucleotides) under Gallus gallus (chicken). RNAcentral's name for it is "microRNA gga-mir-1589 precursor". Lineage: Eukaryota; Metazoa; Chordata; Aves; Galliformes; Phasianidae. The record is from miRBase by way of RNAcentral.
GCAGUGUGCAGAGAGGACACUCUGACAGAGGCACCGCUGCCCAGCAGCCUCUGCUGAUCGUCUUUUCCUUCCAAUCUGC